This 2550-nucleotide long non-coding RNA is filed under the name Heterocephalus glaber (naked mole-rat). Its description in RNAcentral is "lncRNA (ENSHGLG00100050670.1)". The record is from RNAcentral. Lineage: Eukaryota; Metazoa; Chordata; Mammalia; Rodentia; Bathyergidae.
GCUAGGCCUUUGCCUGCUUCGCAUUCCCGAACCUGGUGGAAUGUCCCCAGGAGUGCACUGCUUGGGGAGCACCUCUGCGUGCACCCACUGUGGUAGGGUCCCCCUAAACCGGCCGUGACAGUCAGGCCAUAUAGAGCCCAUUACUGGUGGAUGGGGAGGUGGAGGCUUGGACCUGCAAAGAGAAGCCAGUUGGAAGUGGCCGGAGCCCUGAGUCCAGGCCUCCCGAGCUCCGACCUGCCUGACUUACGUGCUGGGGGCUGUGGUUGGGGAAGAAAUGGCGAGAAGGCCACCCCUGUGCCCUGAGCCUUUUUCAGCCACGAGGGAAGUAGAGUGGGUUUUGGUGCUGCUUCUCAGUGCCCCCCAUGCUCACCUCAGCUGAGGCAGGAGAAGAGGACCCCAGUCCUGUGCCUGGAGCCAGCCUGCUAAUCACAUUAGAUAGGAGUGGGGGAGCUGCACCCCCAACUCCCUUCACUGCUUAGGGUGGUGGAUUAGAAAUUCCUCAAUUAGGAACUUCUCACACCGUUUUCUUUGUGGGGUGCAGGUGGUAAAUUUUCUCUACCCCACACUCCAUCCUCUCUUUGGCUGUCAGCUUCUUAGGUCUUGCCAGCGCUAUCAGCCACAUCUUAUUUAUUUUUUGUAUAAAAAGCUGGGAGAAGCUGAGCGAUUUGCCCAGGUCGCACAGCCAGCCAGUGAGGAGGAGACAAAGAUAACGUCAGUAACAGCAAACAUCGCCGGAAGAAGGCUGUCUGCAGUUGCUGGACCUGAGGCAGGUCAGAUGGCGGUUCGUUGUACUAUUUCAAACUUUUCCCCAAAUUUGAAGUGAUUCCAAAAUAAGCAUGUAAAGAAAAACUUGACUGGAUGCUGGCCCAAGGCUGGUAGACGAUGAGGGAAGUGGGGUGGCUUGACGGCAUUGGGGUGAGGUGACUGAGGGUUUGGGUCUUGGGCUGCCACUCAGAUGGAGUGGUAGGCAGCCCCGAUUCCAGCAGAGAGAGCAGGGAAGGAGAGGAUGGGGCAUUCUUGUUUCAGAUCAGAUGUGGCCGUUUGGAGUGUUCUUUGUGGACUUGGCUGUGGUCUGACCUGAUUUUACGCUCACCCUGUGACUGCCACCCAGACUCCAGCCCAGCUUUGAAGACCAGCUGGGGUGGGUUUCUGGGGAGGUCUCGGACCUCCCAGGGCCUGUUUGAGCCCUGGCCAGUGGAGAGUCAGGUUGAGGGUCUUUCAGUUCUUCACUUUCUUUUUGCAGUACUAGGGAUUAAACGCAGGGCCUUCAUACUGAACUACAUCCCCAACCCUUUUUAAUUUGAUGGUUUGUUUUUGGUACUGGGGAUCGAACUUGGGACCUUGCGCUUGCCAGGCAGGCAUCGGAACCACUGAGCUAAGUCCCUGGCCCUCCCUUUUUAAUUUGAGGUAACAUCUUGUUAAGUGGCCAGGUUGCUGAGACUGAGCUCCAACUUUCCAUCCUCCUGCCUCAGCCCCCCACCGUGCUGGGAUUAUAAAUGACCACUAUGCCUAGCUCUUUCAUUUAUUUUUCUUGCUGUACUGAGGAUGGAACCCAGAUCUUUGCCCAUGCUAGGCAAGCACUCUAUCAUUGAACUACAUUUCCAGCCCCAGGGCCAGGAUCCUUACCACACUUGCUGCCCGAAGAGGCCUGGUAUCUCGGGGAAAAAGUUGAGGCUGUCAAGUGCCACCCACUAAAGCUCCUUGCCACCUGUCCCAGGCCACAGAUACACUGUAUCCAUCAUUGCAGCUGAGGGACCUCAUGAGCUAAUGUAAGAGAUGGACCCAUAGCCAAGAAAAAAAGCAGAAAGACCAAAAAUGCCCUAAUUCAGCUCAUAUCCCUUACUAACAGUUGUCCACAUUUCUGAGCUGAGAGAGUUCUAACCUGCAGCUCCCCAGAUAAAAACCUGCCGUGUCUGGAGGCAGGCUAGGCUGGGACUGAGGAUCAGACCUCGCUCACCCACUUACUAGGCAUAUGUUGACCUUCUAAGCCUCAGUUUGCUCAUCUCUAAAGUGGGUUCACUCCCAGUACUGGGUUGGUUUCGUUGUCCGGUUUGAGCCGGCAAGCUCCCUGGGUGCCUAACCAGGUGGGGCCCUCCACAAAAGUUGCAGCAAAAGUGAUGGCUGUAAUUAUGGUGCUCAUUAGCACAUGACUCACAGACCCCUCCGGCUAGUCCAGGCCUCUCCCAGGGCCUCUGGAAUUUUAUGCUCACUCCCUCUGGCUGGAGCGGAAUCCUCACACAAGGAUCUCAACCUGAGGCGGGUGUGGUGGUGCACACCUGUGGUCCCAGGGCUCUGGACGCCUGAGGCAGGAGGAUCGCAAGCUGGGAGUCCCAUCUGGGCAAUUUAGGGAGACUUUGACUCAUGUUUUAGUCUUCUCCUUUUCUGUAUAAUAGCUAGGAUGAAAAUGCUUUAAUUUUGAGUGUUUGAUUCAUUGAGCUUUCACAAAAUGAACAUACCAGCCCUGUAACCACAGCAGCCUCAAUUAAGCUCGGCUCCUUCCCAGCUCUCUGAGGCUCCCCUCAGCUCCCUGCUGGUCACCUCCUAGCCUCA